ACUCCGCCUCGUCGACGGGCAUGAUCUGGACCUUCAGCGUCCAGCUCGGGAACUCGCCGCGCUCGAUGGCGUUCCACAGGUCGGCGCGGUG
This 91-nucleotide transfer RNA is filed under the name Mycolicibacterium litorale. RNAcentral's name for it is "tRNA-SeC". The record is from RNAcentral. Lineage: Bacteria; Bacillati; Actinomycetota; Actinomycetes; Mycobacteriales; Mycobacteriaceae.